This 554-nucleotide ribosomal RNA is filed under the name uncultured archaeon. Its description in RNAcentral is "bacterial SSU rRNA". It matches the Rfam family "Archaeal small subunit ribosomal RNA", at positions 325 to 879 of the family's 1478-position model. The record is from RNAcentral.
UCGGGGUGCGCAGGCGCGAAAACUUUACAAUGCGGGAAACCGUGAUAAGGGGACACCGAGUGCCAGCAUCAUAUGCUGGCUUGUCCGGGUGUGUAAAAUACACCCGUUAGCAAGGGCCGGGCAAGACCGGUGCCAGCCGCCGCGGUAACACCGGCGGCCCGAGUGGUGAUCGUGAUUAUUGGGUCUAAAGGGUCCGUAGCCGGUUUGGUCAGUCCUCCGGGAAAUCUGACGGCUCAACCGUUAGGCUUUCGGGGGAUACUGCCAGGCUUGGAACCGGGAGAGGUAAGAGGUACUACAGGGGUAGGAGUGAAAUCUUGUAAUCCCUGUGAGACCACCUGUGGCGAAGGCGUCUUACCAGAACGGGUUCGACGGUGAGGGACGAAAGCUGGGGGCACGAACCGGAUUAGAUACCCGGGUAGUCCCAGCCGUAAACGAUGCUCGCUAGGUGUCAGGCAUGGUGCGACCGUGUCUGGUGCCGCAGGGAAGCCGUGAAGCGAGCCACCUGGGAAGUACGGCCGCAAGGCUGAAACUUAAAGGAAUUGGCGGGGGAGCAC